UUAUAGUCUUGAAAAUGUUGUUGUCAUUUGCUCUAAAAGAUAGAGUCUUGGAAUUUGCACAAGAUGGCCAUUGCCAUGAACCAAGAUUCAUUUUCUUGCCCAUAAUAAUAGCUUAGUAGUACCUCUUGUUAUAUUUGAUCAAGAAUCUAACUUUUUUGGGUAGUUUCUAGUGUUGUUUUUGGGAUAGAACAAAAAAUUGUGAUUUUUUGGGGUAUUUAAUGGUGUCAUAAAAAGGAAUAGCAAAAGGGAAGGGAGAUAUAAAGGAGAGGUGAGAGGAAAGUGGAG
RNAcentral lists this long non-coding RNA (285 nucleotides) under Nicotiana benthamiana. RNAcentral's name for it is "long non-coding RNA (NBEN_LNC014490)". The record is from RNAcentral. Lineage: Eukaryota; Viridiplantae; Streptophyta; Magnoliopsida; Solanales; Solanaceae.